RNAcentral lists this ribosomal RNA (466 nucleotides) under uncultured bacterium. Its description in RNAcentral is "partial 16S ribosomal RNA". It matches the Rfam family "Bacterial small subunit ribosomal RNA", at positions 339 to 795 of the family's 1533-position model. The record is from RNAcentral.
CUACGGGGGGCUCCAGUGAGGAAUUUUGCGCAAUGGGGGAAACCCUGACGCAGCAACGCCGCGUGAGUGAAGAAGGCCUUUGGGUCGUAAAGCUCUGUCAACAGGGAAGAAGUUACAAUUGUUUAAUAGAUGAUUGUAUUGACGGUACCUGUGGAGGAAGCGCCGGCUAGACUCCGUGCCAGCAGCCGCGGUAACACGGGGGGCGCAAGCGUUAUUCGGAAUUAUUGGGCGUAAAGGGCGCGCAGGCGGUCUUGUCCGUCAGGUGUGAAAGCUCGGGGCUCAACCCCGGAAGUGCACUUGAAACUGCAAGACUUGAAUACGGGAGAGGAAAGCGGAAUUCCUGGUGUAGAGGUGAAAUUCGUAGAUAUCAGGAGGAACACCGAUGGCGAAGGCAGCUUUCUGGACCGAUAUUGACGCUGAGGCGCGAAGGCGUGGGGAGCGAACGGGAUUAGAUACCCCGGUAGUC